GACAGAGGGUGCAAACGUUGCUCGGAAUCACUGGGCGUAAAGGGCGUGUAGGCGGGACGGUAAGUCGGGCGUGAAAUCCCUAGGCUCAACCUAGGAACUGCACUCGAAACUACCAUUCUUGAGUGUCGGAGAGGAAAGCGGAAUUCCUGGUGUAGAGGUGAAAAUUCGUAGAUAUCAGGAGGAACACCAGUGGCGAAGGCGGCUUUCUGGACGAUAACUGACGCUGAGACGCGAAAGCGUGGGGGAGCAAAACAGG
This 256-nucleotide ribosomal RNA is filed under the name uncultured bacterium. Its description in RNAcentral is "partial 16S ribosomal RNA". It matches the Rfam family "Bacterial small subunit ribosomal RNA", at positions 524 to 776 of the family's 1533-position model. The record is from RNAcentral.